GACGAACGCUGGCGGCGUGCUUAACACAUGCAAGUCGAACGGAAAGGCCCUGCUUUUGUGGGGUGCUCGAGUGGCGAACGGGUGAGUAACACGUGAGUAACCUGCCCUUGACUUUGGGAUAACUUCAGGAAACUGGGGCUAAUACCGGAUAGGAGCUCCUGCUGCAUGGUGGGGGUUGGAAAGUUUCGGCGGUUGGGGAUGGACUCGCGGCUUAUCAGCUUGUUGGUGGGGUAGUGGCUUACCAAGGCUUUGACGGGUAGCUGGCCUGAGAGGGUGACCGGCCACAUGGGGACUGAGAUACGGCCCAGACUCCUACGGGAGGCAGCAGUGGGGAAUAUUGCACAAUGGGCGGAAGCCUGAUGCAGCAACGCCGCGUGCGGGAUGACGGCCUUCGGGUUGUAAACCGCUUUCGCCUGUGACGAAGCGUGAGUGGCGGUAAUGGGUAAAGAAGCACCGGCUAACUACGUG
This 468-nucleotide ribosomal RNA is filed under the name uncultured bacterium. RNAcentral's name for it is "partial 16S ribosomal RNA". It matches the Rfam family "Bacterial small subunit ribosomal RNA", at positions 28 to 507 of the family's 1533-position model. The record is from RNAcentral.